CCCAGACUCCUACGGGAGGCAGCAGUGAGGAAUAUUGGUCAAUGGCCGAGAGGCUGAACCAGCCAAGUCGCGUGAGGGAAGACGGCCCUACGGGUUGUAAACCUCUUUUGUCGGGGAGCAAAGCGAACCACGUGUGGUUCAUUGAGAGUACCCGAAGAAAAAGCAUCGGCUAACUCCGUGCCAGCAGCCGCGGUAAUACGGAGGAUGCGAGCGUUAUCCGGAUUUAUUGGGUUUAAAGGGUGCGUAGGCGGGAUGCCAAGUAAGGGGUCAAAUGCGGGGGCUCAACCUGCGUCCGCCGUUGAAACUGGCGUUCUUGAGUGGGCGAGAAGUACGCGGAAUGCGUGGUGUAGCGGUGAAAUGCAUAGAUAUCACGCAGAACCCCGAUUGCGAAGGCAGCGUACCGGCGCUCAACUGACGCUCAUGCACGAAAGUGUGGGUAUCGAACAGGAUUAGAUACCCGGGUAA
Molecule: ribosomal RNA, 465 nt
Filed under: uncultured bacterium
Lineage: Bacteria
Description: bacterial SSU rRNA
Rfam family: Bacterial small subunit ribosomal RNA
Source: RNAcentral